CAUGAAGCCGGAAUUGCUAGUAAUGGCAGGUCAGCAUACUGCCGUGAAUACGUUCCCGGGCCUUGUACACACCGCCCGUCACACCAUGAGAGUUGGGAAUACCCGAAGCCUGUGAGCUAACAUUAUGAGGCAGCAGUCGAAGGUAGAAUCAAUGAUUGGGGUGAAGUCGUAACAAGGUAGC
RNAcentral lists this ribosomal RNA (181 nucleotides) under uncultured bacterium. RNAcentral describes it as "partial 16S ribosomal RNA". It matches the Rfam family "Bacterial small subunit ribosomal RNA", at positions 1319 to 1500 of the family's 1533-position model. The record is from RNAcentral.